RNAcentral lists this ribosomal RNA (893 nucleotides) under uncultured bacterium. Its description in RNAcentral is "bacterial SSU rRNA". It matches the Rfam family "Bacterial small subunit ribosomal RNA", at positions 1 to 895 of the family's 1533-position model. The record is from RNAcentral.
CCUUAGAGUUUGAUCCUGGCUCAGGAUGAACGCUGGCGGCGUGCCUAAUACAUGCAAGUCGAACGAAUCUCUUUUAGAGAUGAGUGGCGAACGGGUGAGUAAUACAUAGGUAACCUGCCCCUGUGCGGGGGAUAACAGGAGGAAACUCCUGCUAAUACCGCAUAGCCAUGAGCACCGCAUGGAGCUCAUGCCAAAUAUCCUUUAUGGGAUAGCGCAGGGAUGGACCUAUGGCGCAUUAGCUGGUUGGCGGGGCAACGGCCCACCAAGGCAACGAUGCGUAGCCGGCCUGAGAGGGCGGACGGCCACAUUGGGACUGAGACACGGCCCAGACUCCUACGGGAGGCAGCAGUAGGGAAUUUUCGGCAAUGGGGGAAACCCUGACCGAGCAACGCCGCGUGAGCGAAGAAGGCCUUCGGGUCGUAAAGCUCUGUUGUAAAGGAAGAACGGCGCAUACAGGAAAUGGUAUGCGAGUGACGGUACUUUACCAGAAAGCCACGGCUAACUACGUGCCAGCAGCCGCGGUAAUACGUAGGUGGCGAGCGUUAUCCGGAAUCAUUGGGCGUAAAGAGGGAGCAGGCGGCCGCAAGGGUCUGUGGUGAAAGACCGAAGCUAAACUUCGGUAAGCCAUGGAAACCGGGCGGCUAGAGUGCGGAAGAGGAUCGUGGAAUUCCAUGUGUAGCGGUGAAAUGCGUAGAUAUAUGGAGGAACACCAGUGGCGAAGGCGACGGUCUGGGCCGCAACUGACGCUCAUUCCCGAAAGCGUGGGGAGCAAAUAGGAUUAGAUACCCUAGUAGUCCACGCCGUAAACGAUGGUCACUAAGUGUCGGGGGUCAAACCCCGGUGCUGCAGUCAACGCAAUAAGUGACCCGCCUGAGUAGUACGUUCGCAAGAAU